UUGAUAGUGAUCACCCUUGUUUUCAAUUUAUAGAUAGUGAAUUUCUACAUGAUCUUGCAGUAGGUGAUUGAUUAGAUGAUGAAAUUAUGAAUGCUCUUUAUCCUAAUGAACCUAUCUAAGAGGAAAAUGAGGAUGAUGUGAAACUUAAGCACCAGAUUUAAGAUGAUACACAUACUAGUCCUGUUCAUAACUCAAGUAAUGCACCGGCCGACCCACCUAUAGAAACUCCAACUUUUCUACUAGUCCUGUUAAUAACCCAACUAAUGCACCGACCGACCCACCUGUAGAAACUCCAACUUUUAAUAGACAACCUACUAAGCGUCAAGAAACAUCAUUAGUUUGGAAUUUUUUUACUCAAGUAAGAGAACUAAAAUAAGGCUAAGUGUAAAACUUGUGGGAAAUUACUGGUUCAUAAAUUUAUUGGAGACCGUAGCAGCACGGGUAGUUUGACUAGGCAUAUAAAAACACACCUACAGAUAGGGCUAAAUUUUUUCAAAUGCAAGCGCAGCAAGAGGGGACAAGUGUAGAUUCUGCGGUUAACCCUAGUACAGGUUCAACCAGGAAUUAACACUGUCGCCGGAGGUAUUUUAUAGAGAUCGUGAAGAAUUAGCAAAGAUGAUUACUGUUAUGUGCUUUUACCUUAU
This 644-nucleotide long non-coding RNA is filed under the name Nicotiana benthamiana. Its description in RNAcentral is "long non-coding RNA (NBEN_LNC032346)". The record is from RNAcentral. Lineage: Eukaryota; Viridiplantae; Streptophyta; Magnoliopsida; Solanales; Solanaceae.